CGGAUCUUGGGUGGCUUGGGGUGGAUUAGUGGCGAACGGGUGAGUAACACGUGAGUAACCUGCCCUUAACUCUGGGAUAAGCCUGGGAAACUGGGUCUAAUACCGGAUAGGAGCGUCCACCGCAUGGUGGGUGUUGGAAAGAUUUAUCGGUUUUGGAUGGACUCGCGGCCUAUCAGCUUGUUGGUGAGGUAAUGGCUCACCAAGGCGACGACGGGUAGCCGGCCUGAGAGGGUGACCGGCCACACUGGGACUGAGACACGGCCCAGACUCCUACGGGAGGCAGCAGUGGGGAAUAUUGCACAAUGGGCGCAAGCCUGAUGCAGCGACGCCGCGUGAGGGAUGACGGCCUUCGGGUUGUAAACCUCUUUCAGUAGGGAAGAAGCGAAAGUGACGGUACCUGCAGAAGAAGCACCGGCUAACUACGUGCCAGCAGCCGCGGUAAUACGUAGGGUGCGAGCGUUAUCCGGAAUUAUUGGGCGUAAAGAGCUCGUAGGCGGUUUGUCGCGUCUGUCGUGAAAGUCCGGGGCUUAACCCCGGAUCUGCGGUGGGUACGGGCAGACUAGAGUGCGGUAGGGGAGACUGGAAUUCCUGGUGUAGCGGUGGAAUGCGCAGAUAUCAGGAGGAACACCGAUGGCGAAGGCAGGUCUCUGGGCUGUAACUGACGCUGAGGAGCGAAAGCAUGGGGAGCGAACAGGAUUAGAUACCCUGGUAGUCCAUGCCGUAAACGUUGGGCACUAGGUGUGGGGACCAUUCCACGGUUUCCGUGCCGCAGCUAACGCAUUAAGUGCCCCGCCUGGGGAGUACGGCCGCAAGGCUAAAACUCAAAGGAAUUGACGGGGGGCCCGCACAAGCGGCGGAGCAUGCGGAUUAAUUCGAUGCAACGCGAAGAACCUUACCAAAGGCUUGACAUGUUCUCGAUCGCCGUAGAGAUACGGUUUUCCCCUUUGGGGGCGGGUUCACAGGUGGUGCAUGGGUUGUCGUCAGCUCGUGUCGUGAGAUGUUUGGGUUAAAGUUCCCCGCAACGAGCGCAAACCCUCGGUUCCAUGUUUGCCAGCACGUUCGUGUUGGGAACUCAUGGGAGAAACUGCCGGGGGUCAACUUCCGGAGGAGGUUGAGGACCGACUUCAAUUCAUUCAUGACCCCCUUUAUGUUCAUUGGGAGCUUUCACCACGCACAAUGC
Molecule: ribosomal RNA, 1180 nt
Filed under: Micrococcus sp.
Lineage: Bacteria; Bacillati; Actinomycetota; Actinomycetes; Micrococcales; Micrococcaceae
Description: bacterial SSU rRNA
Rfam family: Bacterial small subunit ribosomal RNA
Source: RNAcentral